RNAcentral lists this ribosomal RNA (252 nucleotides) under uncultured bacterium. RNAcentral's name for it is "partial 16S ribosomal RNA". It matches the Rfam family "Bacterial small subunit ribosomal RNA", at positions 524 to 776 of the family's 1533-position model. The record is from RNAcentral.
UACGGAGGAUGCGAGCGUUAUCCGGAUUUAUUGGGUUUAAAGGGUGCGUAGGCGGACGCUUAAGUCAGCGGUAAAAUUGCGGGGCUCAACCUCGUCGAGCCGUUGAAACUGGGUGUCUUGAGUGGGCGAGAAGUACGCGGAAUGCGUGGUGUAGCGGUGAAAUGCAUAGAUAUCACGCAGAACUCCGAUUGCGAAGGCAGCGUACCGGCGCCCAACUGACGCUGAAGCACGAAGGCGUGGGUACCGAACAGG